CCUACGGGAGGCAGCAGUGAGGAAUAUUGGUCAAUGGGCGCAAGCCUGAACCAGCCAAGUCGCGUGAAGGAUGACGGCCCUACGGAUCGUAAACCUCUUUUAUAAGGGAAUAAAGUGUGGCACUUGUCCCAUUUUGUAUGUACCUUAUGAAUAAGGAUCGGCUAACUCCGUGCCAGCAGCCGCGGUAAUACGGAGGAUCCGAGCGUUAUCCGGAUUUAUUGGGUUUAAAGGGUGCGUAGGCGGCUUUUCAGUCAGCUGUGAAAGUCUGGGGCUCAACCGUAGAAUUGCCGUUGAAACUGGGAGGCUUGAGUAUGUUUGAGGCAGGCGGAAUUCGUGGUGUAGCGGUGAAAUGCUUAGAUAUCACGCAGAACCCCGAUUGCGAAGGCAGCCUGCCAAGCCAUGACUGACGCUGAUGCACGAAAGCGUGGGUAUCAAACAGGAUUAGAUACCCCAGUAGUC
RNAcentral lists this ribosomal RNA (459 nucleotides) under uncultured bacterium. Its description in RNAcentral is "partial 16S ribosomal RNA". It matches the Rfam family "Bacterial small subunit ribosomal RNA", at positions 338 to 795 of the family's 1533-position model. The record is from RNAcentral.